Molecule: ribosomal RNA, 459 nt
Filed under: uncultured bacterium
Lineage: Bacteria
Description: partial 16S ribosomal RNA
Rfam family: Bacterial small subunit ribosomal RNA
Source: RNAcentral
CCUACGGGAGGCAGCAGUGAGGAAUAUUGGUCAAUGGACGAGAGUCUGAACCAGCCAAGUCGCGUGAAGGAUGACUGCCCUAUGGGUUGUAAACCUCUUUUGUCAGGGAACAAAACGCGGCACUCGUCCCUUUUUGCAUGUACCCUAUGAAUAAGGAUCGGCUAACUCCGUGCCAGCAGCCGCGGUAAUACGGAGGAUCCGAGCGUUAUCCGGAUUUAUGGGGUUUAAGGGGUGCGCAGAGGGGUUUUUAAGUCGGCGGUGAAAUUUCGGGGCUCAACCCAAACGAGCCGUUGGAACUGGGGGUCUUGAGUGCGGUGGAGGUAGGCGGAAUGCGUGGUGUAGCGGUGAAAUGCAUAGAUAUCGCGAAGAACCCCGAUUGCGAAGGCAGCGUACCGAGCCGCGACUGACGCUGAGGCACGAAAGCGUGGGUAUCGAACAGGAUUAGAUACCCCGGUAGUC